Non-coding RNA from Camelina sativa (false flax), 1312 nucleotides. The record is from RefSeq and is a predicted model, not a curated record. Lineage: Eukaryota; Viridiplantae; Streptophyta; Magnoliopsida; Brassicales; Brassicaceae.
ACUUCUACUAUCUCUCCUUGACAUUAACAUCAAUGAUAUAUUGUGACAACACUAAAUACCACAUACCUUCUCUUUUGAUAAAUAGAACCACAUGACUUUGUCAAUUUAAACCCAGAUUUUUGGAACAAGUUAUAUGUUAAAUUUUAGAAAGAAAAAGACGAUUAUUUCUCUCUCUAACAGUGAGUUCGCCCUAGCCGCCGAGUAACUCGAAUUCUGAUAUUCGUUUACCCUCUCCGGUAGCCGGCACUCCUCGCUGGUGCCGUGAGAGGGUCCCUUUCUCUUUGCUUAGUUUUUGGUGUCUUUGUCUCCGACUUUGUUCGAUCUGGUUUGGUUUGGUGUAGAAGUAGGCUUCUUGGCUUGAAACUUGGCCUUCGAUUGGGGAAUCUUCUGGUUUGUUUGGUGUUUAGAGCUUGGUUGUUGAAGAGGCGGAUGGAGCUGUCAAUUCUUUUGGGCUUUGUGGUUGCAAAGAAGAAGUUAGUACUUUCCGGAUCGGGUAGAUCCACGGUGCGACUCGAAGACUAAUUUUCCUUCUUUGUUUGAUCCCUCCCUAGUGUUGACGCUGCUCAUUUGUAUCUCAUCGUCUGAAGCCGUCAAUUUUGUUUGUUUGGUUGUGAUUGUGUUACCCGCCCAGCCUUUGUCGUUCCUUUCACCCUUGGUCUGCUCACCUUCCUUUGAUUCCCAUUUGGUUCUUUCCCUUUUUAAGCUUGGGCUCUGUUUUGUUGGGAAGAUAUGCUAGUCUUCUAAGUUGGCAGUUGUUGGUUCUUCUCAUGUUUUGUUGUUCGUUUGUUGUUGAUAGCUUCUUGUCUUUUCCUUGUUCUCAUUUGAGUUUGAGUGUGCAAGUGGUUAGGCUUCGCUCCUUGUCUCUGCUUUGCAGAUCUGGUUAGAUCUGAUUGCGUUUUGGAAGGCUUCUAUCUAGACGGUAAAGGACGCUGCAGUCGUCGUCGUCGUAUCCGGAAGCGUGUUCAUGUCUUCGCUUGUCGGGUUAUGAAGGCUUGGUUCUGGUUCUGAGAGAUCAGCUCUCAAAAGGAUAGGAAGUGGCUGAUGUUAUUGUUGGAUUGGCCGUGGCAUCCUUGAUAAAUCUCUUCUGCAGGACUUCAGAGAAGAAUUCCUCUUGCUGAUUAAGACUAGUAUGUUUAGUAAGGUUUAAGCCUAGUUGCCUUUGCUUAUGGUUUAAGGGUUUGUCCUCUCUCGUUUUAGGUUUCAGUUUUUAGCUUUGUUUUAUGUAUUUUGUGUUCAUGUUUAGACUUCGGGGAAUUCUCUUUUUUUCGCCGGCUUAGACUCUGGUGACAUUAUGUUGUCUGCCGGCUUUGUA